UACGGGGGGGGCAAGCGUUGUUCGGAAUUACUGGGCGUAAAGGGCUCGUAGGCGGCCAACUAAGUCGGACGUGAAAUCCCUCAGCUUAACUGGGGAACUGCGUCCGAUACUGGAUGGCUUGAGUUUGGGAGAGGGAUGCGGAAUUCCAGGUGUAGCGGUGAAAUGCGUAGAUAUCUGGAGGAACACCGGUGGCGAAGGCGGCAUCCUGGACCAACACUGACACUGAGGAGCGAAAGCCAGGGGAGCAAACGGG
RNAcentral lists this ribosomal RNA (253 nucleotides) under uncultured bacterium. RNAcentral describes it as "partial 16S ribosomal RNA". It matches the Rfam family "Bacterial small subunit ribosomal RNA", at positions 524 to 776 of the family's 1533-position model. The record is from RNAcentral.